Molecule: long non-coding RNA, 749 nt
Filed under: Cicer arietinum (chickpea)
Lineage: Eukaryota; Viridiplantae; Streptophyta; Magnoliopsida; Fabales; Fabaceae
Description: long non-coding RNA (CARI_LNC002409)
Source: RNAcentral
AGAAAGCAAGGAAACGAGCACAGAGAAACAUAAAGCAAUCGUGAAUCUUCUUCUCCUUCUUUCCUUUGUUUUCCAAAAACAAAACUAAAACCAUAAAACACAAACCCCCAUUUAUUUACUAGAUCUAAGCUUUCAUUCGAGAAGUGACAGAAGAGAAAGUUGCUCAUCGCCACGCUGCGGUGCUAGUGAUCUAGUUUUCGACGGGACGUCACGAGCUUAAAUUUUACCGGAAUUAAUUACGGUACCGUAAUCGCGUGUUAUAGCUAUCGUUCACGUAAGGGCUCCUUCCAAACUUUUAGUUUGCAUUUAGGACAUUAUUUGUGAUUUUGUGGAAAAGAAAUUUGAUGUAUUUGAGGUGUGAUUUUGUGAAAAAUGAAUUUAAUUAGUUUAUGUGUGAAUUAGUAUAAAUUGAAUUUAGUUGUUUUGAGGUGUGUUGUGUAGGGAUUAAUGUUGGGUUUGAAUUAUAUGUUCAAUUUUUCAAUCAUUUAUCUUUUUGUUUGGACUUUACUAUUGUGUUUCUCUAACACUUUUCCUUUGUUUUUAUGUUAAUGUUUGUUUACUUCUACAAAACACAUUUUUCCUUUGCUAUUAUGUAUAAUGUAUGAUAUUGAUAGUGUCCGUAUUUACUAUAUUCUUUUGCAGGCAUCUCUAUAUGGCAUAUUUCUCUCUGGAAAGAUUGUUUUGCAGGAAAUUUAUAAUAUGGUCCAUCAAGAAUCAUAUAGAAGAAAUGUUUAAAAUCUAAAAUCCAA